Non-coding RNA from Coffea arabica (coffee), 938 nucleotides. Lineage: Eukaryota; Viridiplantae; Streptophyta; Magnoliopsida; Gentianales; Rubiaceae. The record is from RefSeq and is a predicted model, not a curated record.
UCGAGGAUUACUACCAUCAAAUUCUUAUCUUCUUCCUCUUCUGAUUUCUGUACGAUUGCGAAGAGGUUGAAGUUUGCUCUCUUGGCUCGAAGAACGACUUGACCAUGUUGGUUCCUAUAGCAGAAGACAGCCGCAUAAGCGAACAAGUCCUGAGGAAGAAGGUAUUUUCCUGUCCAACUUCCAUUUGCAUAAACCAGUAGCAUGACACAUUCAGGGCCGCCCGGAUCAUCAUCGCUGUUGAAAGCUGAGGCCUUUACUCUUAUAGAUCUGCCUGGUUCGAUCCUAACAAUUUUCCUGAACCUAUCAGGCCUAGAGCCAUCCACCCACAUCUUGAUUUCUAUGUUGAACCAAGUCCUGUUUUCUAGGAUGGUAACCUUAUUUCCCAUUUUCCGACGGAGAGGGGAAGUUCCAGGUGCUCGUGUGCAGGUGUAAUAGGGAAGUAGAAACGGAGCAAAAGGAAAAAGAUGAAAACUUUUAUGGGAUGCAAAUGCAAGUACUUGUGGAUAUAUUCCAUCCUUUUCUGUCCUCCAAAGAGUGAGGAAGAAAAGGAAGAACAACCUCUGUGAAAUUUGUGGAGGAUGGCAAAAAAUUGUGGUAUAAACUUGUUGAAAAAAGGAUGAGAGGCAUUGGCAGUGUGAGGAGGGACGUAAAAGAAAAGAAGAAAGGUGUGCGAAAAAGUGCAAGUUGAAAUACUGAUACUGAAAUGAUUAUGGUCAUUACUGUAAUGAUUAAAAUGUUAAGAAAAAGCUAGAGAUUGAGUUUCAAGAAAAGACCCUUGGGUUACUUGGCGCUAACAUAGGCAUUGGUCAUUUAAGUUUCCUAUUCUUUGGGAAAUUCACUAUUAUUUGACCAUUUCAAUAUUCUUUUACCAUACUAGAGCUACUGUGUUUGGUUGACUGUAUCAUUGAUAGCUAUUUAAUGUAACUUGUCUUUACUCC